AACGCACAUUGCACCUUUCAGCAUUCUGGAAGGUAUGCCUGUUCGAGCGUCAUUUCAACCCUCAAGCACUGCUUGGUAUUGGGUGUCACCUUCCUCUGGUGCACCUCAAAAGUAGUAGCAGCGAUCUUUCAGUCCCGAGCAGAGUAAAAUUUUCUUGCUUGUGGGGCUUUGAAUGUAGGCUUGCUUAGACAUCCAUUAAAAGGUUGACCUCGGAUCAGGUAGGGAUACCCGCUGAACUUAA
Molecule: unclassified non-coding RNA, 241 nt
Filed under: uncultured fungus
Lineage: Eukaryota; Fungi
Description: sequence contains ITS2
Source: RNAcentral